CCUACGGGAGGCAGCAGUGAGGAAUAUUGGUCAAUGGGCGCGAGCCUGAACCAGCCAAGUAGCGUGAAGGAUGACUGCCCUACGGGUUGUAAACUUCUUUUAUAAAGGAAUAAAGUGAGGCACGUGUGCCUUAUUGUAUGUACUUCAUGAAUACGGAUCGGCUAACUCCGUGCCAGCAGCCGCGGUAAUACGGAGGAUCCGAGCGUUAUCCGGCUUUAUUGGGUUGAAAGGGAGCGUAGAUGGGUUGGUAAGUCAGGCGUGAAAGUUUGGGGCUCAACCGUAAAAUUGCAAUUGAUACUGGCAGGCUUGAGUGCAGGUGGGGAAGGCGGAAUUCGUGGUGUAGCGGUGAAAUGCUUAGAUAUCACGAAGAACACCGAUGGCGAAGGCAGCUUACUAAACUGCCACUGACAUUGAUGCUCGAAAGUGUGGGUAUCAAACAGGAUUAGAUACCCCUGUAGUC
RNAcentral lists this ribosomal RNA (460 nucleotides) under uncultured bacterium. Its description in RNAcentral is "partial 16S ribosomal RNA". It matches the Rfam family "Bacterial small subunit ribosomal RNA", at positions 338 to 795 of the family's 1533-position model. The record is from RNAcentral.